GGGUUGUGAGGUUAAGCGAAUAAGCGUACACGGUGGAUGCCUAGGCAGUCAGAGGCGAUGAAGGACGUGCUAAUCUGCGAUAAGCGCCGGUAAGGUGAUAUGAACCGUUAUAACCGGCGAUUUCCGAAUGGGGAAACCCAGUGCAAUUCGUUGCACUAUCAUUACCUGAAUACAUAGGGUAAUGAAGCGAACCGGGAGAACUGAAACAUCUAAGUACCCCGAGGAAAAGAAAUCAAACGAGAUUCCCCCAGUAGCGGCGAGCGAACGGGGAGCAGCCCAGAACCUUAAUCACUAUCAGCAUCAGGAGAACAGUCUGGAAAGGCUGGCCGCAGCAGGUGAUAGCCCUGUAUCCGAAGGUGUUGGUAGUGUGAGUUCGAUGAGUAAGGCGGGACACGUGUUAUCCUGUCUGAAUAUGGGGGGACCAUCCUCCAAGGCUAAAUACUCCUGACUGACCGAUAGUGAACCAGUACCGUGAGGGAAAGGCGAAAAGAACCCCGGCGAGGGGAGUGAAAAAGAACCUGAAACCGUGUACGUACAAGCAGUGGGAGCACCCUUCGGGGUGUGACUGCGUACCUUUUGUAUAAUGGGUCAGCGACUUAUAUUCUGUAGCAAGGUUAACCGAAUAGGGGAGCCGCAGGGAAACCGAGUCUUAACUGGGCGAAUUAGUUGCAGGGUAUAGACCCGAAACCCGGUGAUCUAGCCAUGGGCAGGUUGAAGGUUGGGUAACACUAACUGGAGGACCGAACCGACUAAUGUUGAAAAAUUAGCGGAUGACUUGUGGCUGGGGGUGAAAGGCCAAUCAAACCGGGAGAUAGCUGGUUCUCCCCGAAAGCUAUUUAGGUAGCGCCUCGUGAAUUCAUCUCCGGGGGUAGAGCACUGUUUCGGCUAGGGGGUCAUCCCGACUUACCAACCCGAUGCAAACUGCGAAUACCGGAGAAUGUUAUCACGGGAGACACACGGCGGGUGCUAACGUUCGUCGUGAAGAGGGAAACAACCCAGACCGCCGGCUAAGGUCCCAAAGUCAUAAUUAAGUGGGAAACGAAGUGGGAAGGCUCAGACAGCCAGGAUGUUGGCUUAGAAGCAGCCAUCAUUUAAAGAAAGCGUAAUAGCUCACUGGUCGAGUCGGCCUGCGCGGAAGAUGUAACGGGGCUAAAUUAUGCACCGAAGCCGCGGCAGCGAUAUGUAAAUAUUGUUGGGUAGGGGAGCGUUCUGUAAGCCUGUGAAGGUGUGCUGUGAGGCAUGCUGGAGGUAUCAGAAGUGCGAAUGCUGACAUAAGUAACGAUAAUGCGGGUGAAAAACCCGCACGCCGGAAGACCAAGGGUUCCUGUCCAACGUUAAUCGGGGCAGGGUGAGUCGACCCCUAAGGCGAGGCUGAAAAGCGUAGUCGAUGGGCAACGGGUUAAUAUUCCCGUACUGGUGGUAACUGCGAAGGGGGGACGGAGAAAGCUAAAUCAUCCGGGCGACGGUUGUCCCGGUUUAAGCGUGCAGGUGGACUGACCAGGCAAAUCCGGUCGGUUGUUAACACUGAGGCGUGACGACGAGCCACUACGGUGGUGAAGUGAUUGAUGCUCUGCUUCCGGGAAAAGCCUCUAAGCUCCAGGUUACCAUUAAUCGUACCCCAAACCGACACAGGUGGUCAGGUAGAGAAUACUCAGGCGCUUGAGAGAACUCGGGUGAAGGAACUAGGCAAAAUGGUGCCGUAACUUCGGGAGAAGGCACGCUGGCAUUAGGUGAAGUGGUUUACCCAUGGAGCUGAAGCCAGCCGCAGAUACCAGCUGGCUGCAACUGUUUAUUAAAAACACAGCACUGUGCAAACACGAAAGUGGACGUAUACGGUGUGACGCCUGCCCGGUGCCGGAAGGUUAAUUGAUGAGGUCAGCCGCAAGGCGAAGCUUCUGAUCGAAGCCCCGGUAAACGGCGGCCGUAACUAUAACGGUCCUAAGGUAGCGAAAUUCCUUGUCGGGUAAGUUCCGACCUGCACGAAUGGCGUAAUGAUGGCCAGGCUGUCUCCACCCGAGACUCAGUGAAAUUGAACUCGCUGUGAAGAUGCAGUGUACCCGCGGCAAGACGGAAAGACCCCGUGAACCUUUACUAUAGCUUGACACUGAACAUUGAGCCUUGAUGUGUAGGAUAGGUGGGAGGCAACGAAG
Molecule: ribosomal RNA, 2150 nt
Filed under: Morganella morganii
Lineage: Bacteria; Pseudomonadati; Pseudomonadota; Gammaproteobacteria; Enterobacterales; Morganellaceae
Description: bacterial LSU rRNA
Rfam family: Bacterial large subunit ribosomal RNA
Source: RNAcentral